Molecule: long non-coding RNA, 542 nt
Filed under: Rosa chinensis
Lineage: Eukaryota; Viridiplantae; Streptophyta; Magnoliopsida; Rosales; Rosaceae
Description: sRNA RchiOBHm_Chr1g0345741
Source: RNAcentral
UGAUGAUUAUAUAGAAUUUCACUCUCUAUGCUUUCUGUUUUGUCAUGAAGAGAGAAUGGGUACUUACCUUCUGCAAAAUUGAGUACUGGAUCAUAAAGCGUGAGGCUUUGGUUAUGAUGUUUUUGAUGUUGGGUUGUCAUUGAGCGGUGGGCAGGCAAAGAAGCUCAAAGUUGUGGUACUCGAGCAGCUCAACCGACAGUUGGUGCUGAAGAAGAUUUUGACGAUUUUCUUAGGUGGCUUGAAAGAUACGAAAUGGAAUCCCAAGGAGUGGAUCCUAAGAGGGGUUGGGGAUUUCGUGGUGUGCACAAGGUAUUUUUACUCAGUUGAAUGAUAUAGUUUCCUUGUGUAUGUGGACGCAUAUGUCUGCAAAUACAUCUGCAUUGUGUCAUAACGUGUAAAGAUUACUAGGGUAAUUUGACCAGAGCUUCCAAACCAUGUUUACUCCAACUGAAUGUUAUAGUUUCCAUGUGUAUGUGGACCUGUCAUAUCUCAGUGAGGUGUUGAUACAUACUGGAUUACUGGUAGUUCAAUCCUUUCUCUAA